Long non-coding RNA from Callorhinchus milii (elephant shark), 264 nucleotides. RefSeq lists it as uncharacterized. The transcript has 3 exons. The record is from RefSeq and is a predicted model, not a curated record. Lineage: Eukaryota; Metazoa; Chordata; Chondrichthyes; Chimaeriformes; Callorhinchidae.
GCAGGGACUUGAAUACAAUGGUGAUGGUGAGGACCUUGAAAUCGAUCUGCUUGGAGACAGUAGAGACUGAAGAGGGCUGGGGACGUGCAGAGUUUGAUGCAGUACAACCAUGUUUCAAGUGUUGCAUCUAUCAAACGUGUCAUUGCUUGCACAGCAAAAGUAUGAUGAAAAGAGGGUACUAGGAAUAGAAUAACCAAUAUCCCAUUUCUCAGACAAACCAUCCAUCAAAUUGGAUGACCCCCCCCUCAAAGACCGUCCACAUUU